UGGGGAAUAUUGCACAAUGGGCGGAAGCCUGAUGCAGCAACGCCGCGUGCGGGAUGACGGCCUUCGGGUUGUAAACCGCUUUCGCCUGUGACGAAGCGUGAGUGACGGUAAUGGGUAAAGAAGCACCGGCUAACUACGUGCCAGCAGCCGCGGUGAUACGUAGGGUGCGAGCGUUGUCCGGAUUUAUUGGGCGUAAAGGGCUCGUAGGUGGUUGAUCGCGUCGGAAGUGUAAUCUUGGGGCUUAACCCUGAGCGUGCUUUCGAUACGGGUUGACUUGAGGAAGGUAGGGGAGAGUGGAAUUCCUGGUGGAGCGGUGGAAUGCGCAGAUAUCAGGAGGAACACCAGUGGCGAAGGCGGUUCUCUGGGCCUUUCCUGACGCUGAGGAGCGAAAGCGUGGGGAGCGAACAGGCUUAGAUACCCUGGUAGUCCACGCUGUAAACGGUGGGUACUAGGUGUGGGGUCCAUUCCACGGGUUCCGUGCCGUAGCUAACGCUUUAAGUACCCCGCCUGGGGAGUACGGCCGCAAGGCUA
Molecule: ribosomal RNA, 531 nt
Filed under: uncultured bacterium
Lineage: Bacteria
Description: bacterial SSU rRNA
Rfam family: Bacterial small subunit ribosomal RNA
Source: RNAcentral